RNAcentral lists this non-coding RNA (32 nucleotides) under Mus musculus (house mouse). Lineage: Eukaryota; Metazoa; Chordata; Mammalia; Rodentia; Muridae. The record is from RNAcentral.
UGGAUAGGAUCUGAUUGUGCCCUAAGUGGUGU